RNAcentral lists this unclassified non-coding RNA (22 nucleotides) under Mus musculus (house mouse). RNAcentral describes it as "oocyte_clustered_small_RNA952". The record is from RNAcentral. Lineage: Eukaryota; Metazoa; Chordata; Mammalia; Rodentia; Muridae.
CUCUCCAGCACCCAGAGGUUCC